This 316-nucleotide unclassified non-coding RNA is filed under the name Hevea brasiliensis (rubber tree). Lineage: Eukaryota; Viridiplantae; Streptophyta; Magnoliopsida; Malpighiales; Euphorbiaceae. The record is from RNAcentral.
AGCCACUGCACAAUCAAGUGGUGGCAGUGCCAGCAGUGUGGCAUUGCCAGGAGUAGGGAAAAGUGCUACACCAGUUUUGGCACUUCCUGCACCUGAUGGAACAGUCCAGACAGUUGGACAAGACCCCUUUGCCGCAUCUUUGAGUGUUCCACCUCCCUCUUAUGUGCAAAUAGCAGAUUUGCAGAAGAAAGAGCAAUUGCUAGUGCAGGAACAGAUGGUAUGGCAGCAGUAUGGCAGAGAUGGCAUGCAAGGUCAAACGAGUUUGGCCAAGAUCACUACUGGAGGAUACUAUGGUCCAGGGCAACCCCCUGUGAUG